Molecule: ribosomal RNA, 376 nt
Filed under: uncultured bacterium
Lineage: Bacteria
Description: bacterial SSU rRNA
Rfam family: Bacterial small subunit ribosomal RNA
Source: RNAcentral
UACAGAGGGGGCCAGCGUUAUUCGGAAUUAUUGGGCGUAAAGGGCGCGUAGGCGGCCAUGCGUGUCUUCCGUGAAAUCCCUCGGCUUAACUGAGGACGUGCGGAAGAAACUGCAAGGCUCGAGUCCGGGAGAGGGGGGUGGAAUUCCCAGUGUAGCGGUGAAAUGCGUAGAUAUUGGGAGGAACACCGGUGGCGAAGGCGGCCCCCUGGACCGGUACUGACGCUGAGGCGCGAAAGCGUGGGUAGCAAACGGGAUUAGAUACCCCGGUAGUCCACGCCGUAAACGAUGGGCACUUGGUGUCGCGGGUAUCGACCCCUGCGGUGCCGAAGCUAACGCAUUAAGUGCCCCGCCUGGGGAGUACGGUCGCAAGGCUGAA